UACUAUAUGUUAAGACACUCUCGAUGGUACUGUGAUAAUAGGACAGAAGUAGGUGCUGAGAUAGAUUCAGUCCCCUGAGCAUUCUCAGGAAAUACAACCUCCCCUGCACCUUCCUCACAACCAUAUUAAUAUUUACAGUCCAUGAGAGGUCCUCAGAGAUGUAAGUGCCCAGGUAUUUAAAACUACCAACCCUCUCCACCUCCUCGCCAUUUAUGUGCAAUGGUAAAAAUACGCUUUUCUUUCUCCUAAAGUCAAUUAUGAGUUCUUUGGUUUUUUGGUGUUAAGCAUAAGAUUGUUUUCUUUACACCAUUGAAUUAACCCCUGUACUUCUUUCCUAUAAGCAGUCUCAUCGUUCUCACUAAUGAGCCCCACCACUGUUGUAUCAUCCGCAAAUUUGAUGAUUGUGUUGGACUCAUACAGUGGGGUGCAAUCAAAUGUGUACAGGGAAUAGAGAAAGGGACUUAGCACACAUCCCUGAGGGGCUCCUGUGCUUAAUACUAGAGUAGAAGAAUAGUAAGGGCCCAUUCUCACUGUCUGCGGCCUAUCAGUCAGGAAAUUCCUUACCCACAGACAGAUCUUCUGAUGUAUACCCAAAUUGGUCAUUUUAAGAAAUAACCUGUCUGGCAGAAUUGUAUUGAAGGCAGAACUGUAGUCCACAAACAACAGCCUUGCGUAGGUUCCCUGUCGUUCUAGAUGACUCAGUACAGUAUGGACAGCGAUGGAAAUAGCAUCAUCAGUAGAUCUAUUUCUUCUGUAUGCAAACUGGAACGGGUCUAGAGUGGAUGGAAGACCAGCCUUAAUAUGAUCUAGCACCAAUCUCUCAAAACAUUUCAUAACGACAGAUGUUAAGGCUAUUGGUCUAUAGUCAUUGAGAGAUACCACCACUGACUGCUUGGGGACUGGCACUAUAAUCGAUGUCUUCAGGCAGGUAGGGACAGAACCCUGCAACAGGGAUAGAUUAAAAAUGUCCGUAAACACACCAGCUAAUUCUGCAGCGCAGUCCCUAAUAGCCCGUCCCAUGAUUCCAUCCGGUCCAGCUGCCUUCCUAAUGUCAAUGCUCCGAAAGGCACGUUGUACGUCACAGGUCUGUAAUAAAAAUGGUUGUCUAUCAGUAGUAGUUUCUGAUGAUGUGCUGGUAGCCAAUGCUGUAGUGACGGUAGUUCCAGUUCCCACCUCAAGGCGACUAAAAAAUUGAUUCAGUUGAUCAGCCAGGUGCGCACUGCUGCUAGCCAGUUCGUUUUUAAUAUUUUGCCCUGUAAUUUGUCGCAGGCCUUGCCAUACUCGACGAGGGUCGGAGCUCUCAAAAUGUUUUUCGAUCCUCCGGCAGUACAUAGCUUUGGCGUUCCUAAUGCCCUUUUUCAAUUUGGCUCUGGCUUCUCUAUACUGUUGCGCAUCACCAGAGUGAAAAGCAGCAUUUCUUGCCUUUAACAGAAGAUACACAUCCCUGUUUAGCCAGGGCUUGUUGUUAGGGAACACCCGUAUUUGUUUGGUGGUAGUGACAACAUCAAUGCAGCUUUUAACGUAGAACAGUACUGUUGAAGCGUAUGUGUCCACAUUAUUCUCCACAAAGAGCGACCACUCGGUGCUCCGAAAGCAAUCUUGAAGUUGCUCAGAUGCACCUACUGGCCACACUCGUAUCUCUCUAGUUGAUGGUCUAAUUCUGCGUACGAGAGGUCUAUAUGAUGGUAUCAUAAGUAAAGAUAUGUGGUCUGACUGCCCCAAAUUGGGCAAGGGCUUGGUCUUGUAUCCAUGCAUGAUGUUACUAUAUACUCGGUCCAGGGUAUUUCCCCCCCUAGUGGGACAAUCAACAUACUGGUGGAACUUAGGGAGCACAGUUCUUAAAUCGGCUCGGUUAAAAUCACCAGCAACCACAAAUGCUCCAUCCGGGUGGGCCCGCUGCUGUCUGCUAAUAGCAGUUAGCAGGUGGCCCAUAGCUGUAGUAGUGUUUGCAUCGGGAGGUAUAUACACCGCUGUUAUUAUAACAACAUUAAACUCACGUGGCAAAUAAAAAGGGCGGCACUUCACCACUAGGUACUCCAAGUCAGGAGAGCAAUGCGUGUCCAUUUGUUUGAUGUCCGAGCUCCAGUUGUUAUUUAUAUAAACGCAAAUUCCUCCUCCUCUGCUCUUCCCGGAUUCGGCGGUUCUAUCCGCUCUAAUUACUGAGCGUCCUUCUAGCUGCAGAAGUCCCUGUGGAAAGGAGGGAUCCAGCCACGUCUCUAGAAGGACCAUAACACAGCAGUCCCGGAUACUUUUCUGCCGAGAGGUAAUAAGUUCCAACUCCUCUACCUUGUUGGGUAAGGAUCUCACAUUUGAUACAAGGAGACUUGGCAAUGCAGGCUUGUGGGGAUUUUUACCUAGCCUCACUCGUAGACCAGCCCUACAACCCCUCUUCUGCUUGCGCCCCCUCCGUUUUCUUUUCUUUCUGGCAAGGAGAGCAAGGGGAGUAUCCCAAGAAUGUGCAAAAUAUGGAGGCUCUCUGAUAAGCUCAGCUGGAAUGUUAUAGGUUGAGACCUCCUGGCUGCAACCUUCUCCUCUGCCGAUACUUAAGAGCUCUUGACGACUAUAAAUUACUUGUGCCUGAGUAUUCACAGUCCCUAGCAGCAAUAAGUUCACAAGUAAGAAUAAAACACAAAUCACUGAAUACCGGUCUUCGGAGUGCCGAGCCGCUGCAAGUGCUUGCGCCGCCAUUUU
Podarcis lilfordi (Lilford's wall lizard) is the source of this 2691-nucleotide non-coding RNA. Lineage: Eukaryota; Metazoa; Chordata; Lepidosauria; Squamata; Lacertidae. The record is from the annotation of a GenBank genome assembly.